This 23-nucleotide microRNA is filed under the name Petromyzon marinus (sea lamprey). Its description in RNAcentral is "pma-miR-4581". The record is from miRBase by way of RNAcentral. Lineage: Eukaryota; Metazoa; Chordata; Hyperoartia; Petromyzontiformes; Petromyzontidae.
GCUCGGAACGGCCCGGCUCGGGU